UUAACUAUUAUAUAGUACUCAGACGACACUAACAUUCAGAGUUUUAAGAUUCUCUGGCAGUCAUCCAGGCGCGUUAACGCCUGACAUAUUCUGCCAAAGCAACAGAUGGUUAUAUUUACAAGGGUGGAGAUCUACCCAGAAGGGCAUGAACUCUGUAAUGAUCCUUCCGCAGGUUCACCUACGGAAA
RNAcentral lists this unclassified non-coding RNA (187 nucleotides) under uncultured fungus. RNAcentral's name for it is "sequence contains ITS1". The record is from RNAcentral. Lineage: Eukaryota; Fungi.